This 496-nucleotide ribosomal RNA is filed under the name uncultured bacterium. RNAcentral describes it as "partial 16S ribosomal RNA". It matches the Rfam family "Bacterial small subunit ribosomal RNA", at positions 29 to 507 of the family's 1533-position model. The record is from RNAcentral.
AUGAACGCUGGCGGCGUGCCUAAUACAUGCAAGUCGAGCGAACAGACGAGGAGCUUGCUCCUCUGACGUUAGCGGCGGACGGGUGAGUAACACGUGGAUAACCUACCUAUAAGACUGGGAUAACUUCGGGAAACCGGAGCUAAUACCGGAUAAUAUAUUGAACCGCAUGGUUCAAUAGUGAAAGACGGUUUUGCUGUCACUUAUAGAUGGAUCCGCGCCGCAUUAGCUAGUUGGUAAGGUAACGGCUUACCAAGGCAACGAUGCGUAGCCGACCUGAGAGGGUGAUCGGCCACACUGGAACUGAGACACGGUCCAGACUACUACGGGAGGCAGCAGUAGGGAAUCUUCCGCAAUGGGCGAAAGCCUGACGGAGCAACGCCGCGUGAGUGAUGAAGGUCUUCGGAUCGUAAAACUCUGUUAUUAGGGAAGAACAAAUGUGUAAGUAACUAUGCACGUCUUGACGGUACCUAAUCAGAGAGCCACGGCUAACUACGUG